RNAcentral lists this ribosomal RNA (859 nucleotides) under Enterococcus sp. M363. RNAcentral describes it as "bacterial SSU rRNA". It matches the Rfam family "Bacterial small subunit ribosomal RNA", at positions 45 to 878 of the family's 1533-position model. The record is from RNAcentral. Lineage: Bacteria; Bacillati; Bacillota; Bacilli; Lactobacillales; Enterococcaceae.
UGCUAUACUGCAGUCGUACGCUUCUUUUUCCACCGGAGCUUGCUCCACCGGAAAAAGAAGAGUGGCGAACGGGUGAGUAACACGUGGGUAACCUGCCCAUCAGAAGGGGAUAACACUUGGAAACAGGUGCUAAUACCGUAUAACAAUCGAAACCGCAUGGUUUUGAUUUGAAAGGCGCUUUCGGGUGUCGCUGAUGGAUGGACCCGCGGUGCAUUAGCUAGUUGGUGAGGUAACGGCUCACCAAGGCCACGAUGCAUAGCCGACCUGAGAGGGUGAUCGGCCACAUUGGGACUGAGACACGGCCCAAACUCCUACGGGAGGCAGCAGUAGGGAAUCUUCGGCAAUGGACGAAAGUCUGACCGAGCAACGCCGCGUGAGUGAAGAAGGUUUUCGGAUCGUAAAACUCUGUUGUUAGAGAAGAACAAGGAUGAGAGUAACUGUUCAUCCCUUGACGGUAUCUAACCAGAAAGCCACGGCUAACUACGUGCCAGCAGCCGCGGUAAUACGUAGGUGGCAAGCGUUGUCCGGAUUUAUUGGGCGUAAAGCGAGCGCAGGCGGUUUCUUAAGUCUGAUGUGAAAGCCCCCGGCUCAACCGGGGAGGGUCAUUGGAAACUGGGAGACUUGAGUGCAGAAGAGGAGAGUGGAAUUCCAUGUGUAGCGGUGAAAUGCGUAGAUAUAUGGAGGAACACCAGUGGCGAAGGCGGCUCUCUGGUCUGUAACUGACGCUGAGGCUCGAAAGCGUGGGGAGCAAACAGGAUUAGAUACCCUGGUAGUCCACGCCGUAAACGAUGAGUGCUAAGUGUUGGAGGGUUUCCGCCCUUCAGUGCUGCAGCUAACGCAUUAAGCACUCCGCCUGGGG